GCCAGGGGGAAAGCAAUCUUCCACACUCGUUUGGUCUUGUAAGUGUUUUUAUUAUUUUAUUUUACAUGUGUUUAAAAUGUAUUUACUUUAUUUGUUGUUGGAAUCGCGACAUUCUUGCGGGUAACUUAACGUUAGAGUAAGUAACCCAUGUUUUAUAAAACCUAAACAGUACAACCUGCAAUGUAAUAAAAUAGUGGAGGUAAAUGAGUCUAUGUAACGUUACACUGAAGAUUAACAUGAGUAAUUUGUAGGCUGCUUUUUAGUAACAGCAGUAACUUAGCUAAGUUAUUACUGUGUUGCUUACAGUAAUGUAGGCAGUUGUGCUUUACAAUUAUGCAUACAGAGAUAGAUUGUGGGGGAAAGCUAUUUUUCCAUAUGGAUUUAACUUACAGCCCUUCAGUUUGUUGGAAAAAGAGUUUUAUUGUGUUAGUGAGGGAAAACUUGUAGGUCAGUGGGCAUUAACCUUUAAGGUUGGUAAACACUUGUACACUGAAGCAUACAAUACUGUACAAUACUAUACAAGUACUGACAUAGGCAUGUGCUAUUCAGGUGUCAAAGCUGUGCGAACUGGAGGGAGAAACUUGAGAGACCGUGUCGGAAGAAUGCUGGACAGAGUUCACUAAAAUUCAUUAAUUUCAAAGUUCAACAUGAAUGGUGGUGGUCCACUGCAGAAGCAAGCAUUUGAAAAAACAUCAGUUCUCAGUUAUUAAAGAUGCUGUGUUGAACAACUUUCCAGCACCAACAGAACUGGAAAUGAAGGAUGCAAUGGGGGGCAUUUCAAACAGGCACCAGGGAGGACGUGGUGUAUAGAAAUUAGUCCAAUUAAUAAGUUGAAGUGUUAUUUAUUUAUUUUGUUACUGUUUUUAUUCUUUUUGUUAAAAGUAGUUUUUCUUCAUUUUGUCUUAUCUGAAUUUCUAUUGUAUUAACAAUAUUUUUGUAAUAAAUUGCAUGAUUACAUGUUUAUGAGAAUCUUUUUUUAAUGGAUUAAAAAGAAUUCUUUAGCCAUUCUUUUGUUGUUUAUUAGACACACACGUGUAGUCAUUUAAUAGCCGUCUAUUUAACGGCUAGUCUAUUCUUGGGCUAUGAUAGACGUCUACUAGAUUUUCACUGACAGCCCAAAAUUAGCCUUUUAUUAGCCUAUACCCACAUUCACCGUCUAUUAGACGUAUAUAUGUAGACGUUUAGUAGCCGUCUAUUUGAUGACUAGUCUAUUCUUGGGCUAUGAUAGACGUCUACUAGAUUUUCACUGACAGCCCAAAAUUAGCCUUGUUUUAGCCUAGACGUCAGGGGGGUGUUUAGACGGCUACUAGACGUCUAUUAGCCGCAAAAUUGCUUGCUGGGUUGUGU
Molecule: non-coding RNA, 1347 nt
Organism: Misgurnus anguillicaudatus (oriental weatherfish)
Lineage: Eukaryota; Metazoa; Chordata; Actinopteri; Cypriniformes; Cobitidae
Source: RefSeq, a predicted model, not a curated record